UAGUACGUGGAUUUAUUUCUUUUUUUAUUUUUUUAUUUUUAUGAAAUGUGUGUUUAGCAUCCUAAAUCUAAAAUUUGGCAUUUUCCCUACAUCCACUCCUGGGCUCUACCCACUUUGGUUCUCUUCCACAAGGCUUCGUCACACAACUGGAGGUGUUGCUUCCAAUCGCUCGUCUUCCAAAUAUGGGGCAGCGACAUUGAUCUAUUCCGAAAGAAGGAUUUGUAAAUACAAUGAAGGUUCAACAUGCAAAGGACAAUAGAAGUUGAAAGGAGAAUGAAUUUUGUAAAGAAAUUUGAAGUUGAGAAAUUUAUAUUUCCAAUUGAGAAUUUUAAACUUACUAUAGAUAUUGUCCAAUUUAGAAAUUUGUAAAGAGAUUUGUAUUUAAAGUUGAGAAUAUGUAGUACUGAUAAUGCAUCUUUGGUAUUAGCAACUGUAAUCUUUUAUUGUAUCUAAAGUUGGUAUUUUGUUAUUUGUAA
Molecule: long non-coding RNA, 476 nt
Organism: Carya illinoinensis
Lineage: Eukaryota; Viridiplantae; Streptophyta; Magnoliopsida; Fagales; Juglandaceae
Exons: 2
Source: RefSeq, a predicted model, not a curated record